Molecule: long non-coding RNA, 182 nt
Organism: Nematolebias whitei (Rio pearlfish)
Lineage: Eukaryota; Metazoa; Chordata; Actinopteri; Cyprinodontiformes; Rivulidae
Exons: 3
Source: RefSeq, a predicted model, not a curated record
UUAUUAUUUACAGAUGAACCCAAAGAAUUAUGAAAUAAUUCUUGGAAUCAACAAUCAACACCACCACUGGACUUUAGUGGUGAUCUACCCACAAGAGAAAAAGUCUUUGUUCUUGAAUCCACUGGGGGAAUCAAAACAAGACAUCCAGAAAUGUUUACAAAUCACAAGGGCAUUUAUGAGAA